GAUGAACGCUGGCGGCGUGCUUAACACAUGCAAGUCGGACGGACACAUCUUUCGGGGUGUGUUAGUGGCAGACGGGUGCGUAACACGUAGGUAACCUGCCCUGGAGUGGGGAAUAAUUCCGCUAACGCGGGACUAAUACCGCAUAGGCUCGGUAGCGUGAGGCUACGGAGUAAAGCUGUGAGGCGCUUCAGGAUGGGCCUGCGGCGGAUUAGGUAGUUGGUGGGGUAACGGCCUACCAAGCCGAUGAUCCGUAGGGGGCGUGAGAGCGUGGCCCCCCACACUGGCACUGAGAUACGGGCCAGACUCCUACGGGAGGCAGCAGUGAGGAAUAUUGGUCAAUGGGCGCAAGCCUGAACCAGCCAUCCCGCGUGCAGGAAGACGGCGCUAUGCGUUGUAAACUGCUUUUCCAGGGGGAGAAACUUGCGUACGUGAUACGCAAUUGACGGUACCCUGGGAAUAAGCAUCGGCUAACUCCGUGCCAGCAGCCGCGGUAAUCU
This 497-nucleotide ribosomal RNA is filed under the name uncultured bacterium. Its description in RNAcentral is "bacterial SSU rRNA". It matches the Rfam family "Bacterial small subunit ribosomal RNA", at positions 28 to 526 of the family's 1533-position model. The record is from RNAcentral.